UACUACAGAGGCUCCCGUACUAUAGCCUCGUUUUCAAACUUACGGUUUUCAAAACAAUGAUCCACAUAGUUAAAACUGAUCUAGAGUAUUUAAAUUUUUAGAAAUAAAAUUUUAUAUUUUUUCGACAUACUUUACUUUAUGAUCAAAUCAUUUUAAACUUAUCAAUUUUCAAUGACUACUAUGACGAGUUUGUAGUUUAACGGUGUAAAAAAAUCUAAAUUUAUUCAAAUUUUAAUAGAAAAUACUUUAAACUAUUUAGAUUAAGAUCAGCCUCCUUAAUUUGAAUUUAAAAAUCCUAUCCUCAAAUUUUAAAUAUUGCUCAAUUUUUCUCGUCUAUUUUGACAUUACUUACUAACUCAACAAUGUUUUUAUAUACCCUAUAUCAUAUUUGACGGUAUAGAUCAUUGAUUUGGCCAUCCUAAGAUCAAAAAUGAGACUAUAAUACCGAAGCUAAGAUAGU
This 460-nucleotide long non-coding RNA is filed under the name Ananas comosus (pineapple). RNAcentral's name for it is "long non-coding RNA (ACOM_LNC017272)". Lineage: Eukaryota; Viridiplantae; Streptophyta; Magnoliopsida; Poales; Bromeliaceae. The record is from RNAcentral.